GUGUCAGCUGUUAUGACAUAUUAUGUAAUGGUUAAGACCGUGUCAUAAAGUGCUAUGAUGCUGGAUGUCAAGUAAAGUGUUACCCAAAUUGUACUGGGUCUAGGGUGUCAGGUACUUACUGACUUUAUUGUCCCCAUGGGGAAAUUUUGUUGCAGUGUCAUGUACACAUUUAAAGUGGCUUUAAAUACAAAACAAACUGACAAUGCAACUUUCAUAACAGUUACAUACCAAUAAAAAGAUACUAGCCUGCUGGUCGGUAGGAACAUUAGCCUGAGCUAUUUAGGAGGGAUAUCACACCUGGCACAAAUUAUUGUCUAGUUCUGUUUUUCCUGCAGAGGGGUGCCCUAUACCUGCGCCCAGAGGUGAGUAGUUCAAAGUCCGGUUACAGGGGGUGGCUUGGGUCUAAAAUGUUUUUGCCUUGCGGUGGGCCCUGACCUUAAAGAUCUCAUCCAGGCCUGUCUGUUUGACUCCAAGUACCUUGCUUGCUGUGGUGAUAAUCCUUCUCAGCAUAUUUCUCUGGCUGACAGUGGUAUUGCCAAACCAACAAACAAUACAAAAAGUUAAAAUACUCUCAAUGAAAGAUUUGUAAAACAGAGUCAGUAUGGUACAGUCAACAUUAAAAGAUCCCAGCUUUUUGAGAAAGUACAGUCUCUGUUGACUCUUUUUGUAGAUCAGAUCUGUACAUUUACACCACUGAAACUUGUCCAAGGGGACACCCAGAUAUUUGUAUUCCCCUACAAUCUCUAUGUUCUGACCUCUGAUAGAUGUUGCAGAGGUAGGUGUUGUACGCUUUCUGAAAUCUAUGCACAUCUCUUUGGUAUUAGUGGUAUUGAAGACAAAGUGUGAUUCGUCACAACACUCUACAAAGUCAUUUAGGACCCGGCCAUGGUGUUCCUCGUUAUCAUGCAACAGGCUGAUCAAGGCAGUGUCAUCAGCAAACUUAACGAGGUGUCUGUCAGGAUGGGAACUAGUACAACUAUUAGUGUACAAGAUGUACAGGAGUGGGGACAAAACAGAUCCCUGAGGAGAGCCUGAGUUGGUGCGCAUGUCUGCCACGUGGGGACCUACUUUGACCCGCUGUGAUCGCUGGCUCAGGAUGUCCAACAACCACAAGUCCAUCUAAGGAGAAGUCCUAAAUGAGUCUCUGUGCCAGAAUGUAAGGCUGGAUUGUGUUGAAGGCAGAAGAAGGUGGAGGUGAUAUGAUCCAUAACUAACCUCUCAAAGCACUUCAUGAUGACAGAAGUGAGUCCUUGUGUUUUAAACUGUGAUUUUGUCUAUUAAGAGAGCGUGGCCAGUUUUAUGAUCGUAACACUUUAGUCUGUUAAGACCUUUCAUAUUGAUUGAAUAUUGUGUUGUUUGCUGUGUUGCACUGAAAAUAAGUUUGCUGUAAUUACACUUAAUAUUUGUUGUGUUUUGUUUACAGGCCUUUGUAGAACUGUACAAAUUCAAGUUGUAAUAAAAUCUAUAAAUGUUGUGAUAAUCCUGUGUUGCUUCCAUACCAGUAUCCAGUUGAGGUAUUUAUGACCCAGGCCUAUCCUAGAACAUGUUUGUUAUAAAUCUACCAAUAGUAGGCCUAUAUCUGCUCUUUUACUUGUAGCGUACAUUGGACUUUCAAGUGGAGUUGAUUGCCUUAAGGACAUAAGCAGGGUUUGGGUCAAUACCAAUUUAAUUUGAAAUUCCAAUUCAAUUCUUGAAUUCACUCAUAAAGUGGAGAAUUUACAUUGAAUUCAAUUUGAAUUCCAACAAUCUUCAAGUUAUGGAAUUGGAAUUGGAUUUAGACUAUUUGCACUGAUGGAACUGGAAUUAUAAAAACAUUUGAUCUUUGGAAUUGAAUUGGAUUUCAAGUCAAUAUUUGUAAAUUUCCCAGUUAAUGGAAUUAAUGCACUUAGUAUCAAACAUUUACUGAAGGAGGUGUUUUAAAUAAUGUAUAUUUCCAUUACAGUAAGACUGUCUGAACAGUGACAUAAUCAGCCUGAAAGCCUGAGGGAAUUUAAGUUGUGGAAUUGUUUUGGAUAAUAUUUAAUUGUGAAUUGAAUUAUUGAAAUGUAGUUACCUUGGAAUUGAGAGGGAUUAAAUUAUCUCUGAAUUCAAAGGCUGACCUGGAAUUUGAAUUGAAUUUCAUGGAAUUCACAGAGGGAAUUGAACUAGAAUUGAAUUAGUGGAAUUAACCCCAACCCUUGAUAUAGCUGACAUUUAGGUGUUAGUAUUUAAUCAAUUAAUGAUCAAUAACAGAUAAUCUUCAUUACAUGAAUUAAUGUGUAAUUGCAGUUUUAGCACAAAACGUGAAAAUCAGGAUGAGUCUCUGUCCUUUAAUUAAUAUGCUAUCAAAACUUGCUUCGUGACCCAUAUUUCUACAAGCAUUACCCUAAUAUAAUCAUAUGUAUCUGUUAUCCCUUUGACUCCUAGUCAACCAAACAAUUUCACUGUAAAACUUCCAGCAACUUCAACUUCAACCAGGUAGCCAGGCGGUUAAGCGCGUUGGAACAGUAAACGAAAGGUAGCUGGUGGAAAAAUCUGCAUUUCCGCGCUUGAGCAAGGCAUUAACCCCAAACAUCUGUUCCCAGGACCCCCGAUGACUUGGACGUCGAUAAAGCGUCGAGUUCGAAUUAAUACAAUGCAUCACGUCCCCUAAUUUAGAUGUCAGAUGAUGAGCUAUGCAUGUACCAUGCGAAGGGCCUCGAGCAGUCGAGAACAGCUACAACAUUUGGCAUUUCGUAGAGUGAACAAACCUCCGCUGCUACUGCUCUUGGAUGCAGCCCCGUUGAGAACCUGCGUGUUGCUUAGCAACAAUGUGACACGGUAGUUUACGCAACCAUUCAAGGCGGAAUAGAAUCUUAUGGGACAUUAUUGUAUUUUAUGUAGCUGCUAGCUAGCUAGUCAGAAAAUAAACUUUGUUGAACAUUUCGCAGGAUAUAUUGUUGACGGUAAAAGUAGCUGUGGUAGCUACAGUAGCGUCUGAGGACGUUAACAUGUAAAAAAGAAAAGAAAAAGAAAACGAGGAUAUAUCCAUUCUGGGAACAAGUAAAUUUAUAGCCAACUUAACUCUCUCCAGUCCAGGCUAAAUUAAUCACGCUUUUACCUUCCUUUAUGCCACAUGACACACACCUAGCCAGCUAAAAUGACAUUUUGCCAUUAGUUUACACAGUGGCAAGAUGUAGUAGGUACCAAAUAAGUGAUUUAAUUUCACUAACAUACUGCUACUGCCUUAAAUUGAACCACUUAGAUUUCCAUCCAGGGAAGGGGGGCCUAGUUUACUAGGUUUUAAUUAUAUUUUGCACGAAAUACCCCUCCCCACGCACACAUACCUGAACACUUGAAAAGCAGUUGAAACAGAACAGAGAUAGGUGGUAGCAUUUUUCUACUAUGGUUAUACUCAUCACACGUUGACUUGCACCCAGACAAUGAGACAGGUUGGCACAACACCACCGGUGUAAUGUACCGUAUCAAAUUACAGACCAUGACAAAAGGUCCAGGAACUCCACAAUACUUCUGAGCUAAUAUUCUGCGGUGCAUCCCAACAAGUAGAUCAUUUGAUGUGUCAAUACUCAGUUCCGAUCAGGCAGAUCUUCAAGCAGUGUGCCCCAGCAGACGUCACAGUUGUGCCCUGGUUAACACCCCCUCACUGUGUGCCAACAAAGCUGUUUGCCAUAUUCAGGAGCUGAAGAGGCAACUGGAGAACUGGUGUCAACAGUCAGGAAAUGUUCAGCAUCAGAUGUCUCAUGAAAAACAGCAAAAUAGCAAAACUUUUAGAAGCUGAUCGCCAGGAUGCAGAGGAAGCUCUACAAACAGAGAAGAAGAGGAGGUGAACUUUUGGGAGAAAAAUGAAUACUAUUUCACUGUGGAAGCAGCCGUCCAGAAAGAUUGUAGAGUUGAAAAUAUGAAUCGAGGUAGAAGGUAGAACAUUUUCACAAUUAAAGGAAGGGAUUUCAGAGCUGCAGAAAGAAGUCCAUGCAACUAGACUUGCAGGUGAAGUGGCAGUCUCUCACACCGAGGAGGUGUUCCGUAAAAGAAACAUCAGGAUACCUUGAAUCUUCAUGAGGAAAACAAAGAGUAUGAACUGGAGAUUGAGGACUACAGCAAAAAUAUCUAUGAGAGCGAAGCAGCUUCAGAGGAGCAGGAAGCACAUGCAGCAGAAGUUCAGUGUGAACGAGGACCAGAGACAGAGGCUAAGGAGGAGCUGUCCCAGAUGGCUAUGUUGCACGCCAAGGUCAACUUGGAGGAGCUGGAGCAGAAGACCUUCAUGGUGGAGCAGAGGAUGAGAUAUCUCCUCAGAAAGUGACUGAGAAUCUGAAGAAAGACGAGCGAGUUGAAAGCCCUGGCCAUUCUGAAGGAUAAAAUAACAACUAUUGAAGCAGAAUUACACCAGGAGCAAACCAACACAGAAAACGCCAGAUGGGAACUUCAUAAGGAAUUUGAGGAGGCGUUAUCAGCUACAAAACAACUGGAAAUUGAAACGGAAAAACUGAGAAAGAUUUACAAUGAUAAAUCUGAAGGAAUUACAUCAAGCUGUUACCGAAGGGUUUAACCAUGCCUUGAGUAGAAUCAUCGCAGACCUCUGUGCUAAGUCCAAAGAGUACAGAACAGGGUCUGACAUGGAGAAAACCACAGCCGCUAUGCCAGAUGUCAUUGAAGAACUACAGUUCGUCUUUGAUGCCGUGGAGUUCCAAAACCAAACAGCUAUGUUGAUCAUGAACACCUUGGAACGUGAUAUCACCAACUGUCAACAACGGAUGGAGCCAACAGUGGAAACUCAUACUACUCUGUUCGCAACCAGACAGCAGAAAAAACCAAGCUUUCUUUGUUGCAGAAGAGGAUGCACAGAGCUGUGGUGAAAUACUUCAGACAACGCAGCCUCUACAGCCUGGAUGAACUGGCCCGCUUCCAGAACCUCUCUAACGAGAACAACCAGAAAAUAAUAACCAUCCAGGAGGAGUUGUCAGAAGCAAUCCAGCGCAUCUCUGCUUUCCUGUAGUCAGUGGCAGAUGACUCAACUACAGCAACAGUGAUCAUGCUGCGACAAUAGAGACAGCAGCAGAGAACAAACAAGCGGGUCCGGAUGCCAUUGGAUUGAACAAGAAGAAGAUGCCUACAGUUCAGAUAACAGCGUAAUUGGACAUUCACCUGGUCCCAGACAACUUACUUACCCCUGUACGCUUCACUAACUCACUAUGCCCCCUCUCUCUCUCUUACCAGCAGCAGAUCCAUAACAAUGAAACAGGUGACUUUCAUGCUGCUGUCAGGACUGAUCUAAUUUUAGCUGGGUGAAUGAUUGCAAUUGGCUUUGCCUCAUCAGAUAAUUAAUCUAUGUCACCAUUAAUUGGAAAAGAGAAUAAUUACAGGCAGUGUUGACAGAAACUCUACGCUUCUCCAGAUUUCGAGAUCUAAUUACGACUACUAAAACCCUCCGUGACCUUAACUAGCACUUAGUACAUCACCUCGACCACCCUGACCAAUGCCGAAGCAAAACAACUUCCUCUCGGUAGACAUUAAGCCCUGUUUUUGUUGUUUAAUUUUUUUUCUCCCUCUCUCUUUUCUCUCUCACUGUGCUCUCCUAGAAAGCUGUCUCCCUCAAUCACUUUUCAAUGUUCAAUCUUAAUUUUGUGGAAGUUUAGCAUUUUCAAUGAGCUGGAUAUGAAUGAUUAAUGAAUACAUUUAAAUGCUUCAUUUUGUCCAUGGAUCAUUAGUUAAGUCCUUUGUGUGAAGGACCUGAGAAAGGAGUCAAAAUUAUUGAGACAUUAGCCUGGAGCAAUCUAGGGGUAAAUAGUGUGCACAUUAUAAAAUAAUGUUGUGUAGCGGGUGCAGUAUCCUACUGGCUUUCUAACUGAAGAACCCCCAGGUAACGCUGCUUUCAAUUUAGGCUGAAUCUCACAUAGUAUUUAUUUGGAGGAGAAAAUGUAUUAUUUCAUCAAGCAUAGGCCUACUAAUGAUGUG
This 5931-nucleotide long non-coding RNA is filed under the name Salmo salar (Atlantic salmon). RNAcentral describes it as "lncRNA (ENSSSAG00000102806.1)". Lineage: Eukaryota; Metazoa; Chordata; Actinopteri; Salmoniformes; Salmonidae. The record is from RNAcentral.